GAUGAACCACUGCAUGAUAAGAUCUCUAUGGAAAUGCUGCUAGGUCCAGAGAAAAACGUUGUAUAGUUUUUCAAAAGCAAUCAGGCACGCAUGGAGACAGCACUGAAGAAAAUUCAGACGGACAGUCAGAGAGAUUUCGACCUGGGAAAAAGCUACUUGAACUAAGCCAUGAUGCAGAGGUUUUGCCAGAUUUACUGAAACGUGGCUUGAGUCCAUUAACGAAGAUUAACAAUGAAUUAUAUAAAUUAAGAAACAAGCUUAUUCAUCAUAG
This is a long non-coding RNA of Colias croceus (clouded yellow), 271 nucleotides long. RefSeq lists it as uncharacterized. NCBI's taxonomy places the organism in Eukaryota, Metazoa, Arthropoda, Insecta, Lepidoptera, Pieridae. The transcript has 4 exons. The record is from RefSeq and is a predicted model, not a curated record.